GCAGAGCACUCCGUACGGGGGCAGCAGUGGGGAAUAUUGCACAAUGGGCGCAAGCCUGAUGCAGCCAUGCCGCGUGUAUGAAGAAGGCCUUCGGGUUGUAAAGUACUUUCAGCAGUGAGGAAGGUGGAUAUGUUAAUAGCAUAUUCAUUUGACGUUAGCUGCAGAAGAAGCACCGGCUAACUCCGUGCCAGCAGCCGCGGUAAUACGGAGGGUGCGAGCGUUAAUCGGAAUUACUGGGCGUAAAGCGCAUGCAGGUGGUUUGUUAAGUCAGAUGUGAAAGCCCGGGGCUCAACCUCGGAAUUGCAUUUGAAACUGGCAAACUAGAGUACUGUAGAGGGGGUAGAAUUUCAGGUGUAGCGGUGAAAUGCGUAGAGAUCUGAAGGAAUACCGGUGGCGAAGGCGGCCCCCUGGACAGAUACUGACACUCAGAUGCGAAAGCGUGGGGAGCAAACAGGAUUAGAUACCCUGGUAG
RNAcentral lists this ribosomal RNA (472 nucleotides) under uncultured bacterium. RNAcentral's name for it is "bacterial SSU rRNA". It matches the Rfam family "Bacterial small subunit ribosomal RNA", at positions 328 to 793 of the family's 1533-position model. The record is from RNAcentral.